CUGCCUGCCCGGUGACAUUAGUUAAACGGCCGCGGUAUCCUGACCGUGCAAAGGUAGCAUAAUCAUUUGUUCUCUAAAUAAGGACUUGUAUGAAAGGCCACACGAGGGUUUAACUGUCUCUUACUUCCAAUCAGUGAAAUUGACCUUCCCGUGAAGAGGCGGGAAUAAAAUAAUAAGACGAGAAGACCCUAUGGAGCUUUAAUUAACCAGCUCAAAAGAAUUUACUUACCAGACCGACAGGAACAACACUCUCCUUCCAUGAGCUGACAAUUUGGGUUGGGGCGACCUCGGAGCAUAAAAGAACCUCCGAGUGAUAUUAAUCUAGACAUACCAGUCAAAAUGCUCACUUACUUAUUGAUCCAAAGCUUCUUUGAUCAACGGAACAAGUUACCCUAGGGAUAACAGCGCAAUCCUAUUCAAGAGUCCAUAUCGACAAUAGGGUUUACGACCUCGAUGUUGGAUCAGGACAUCCUAAUGGUGCAGCAGCUAUUAAGGGUUCGUUUGUUCAACGAUUAAAGUCCUACGUGAUCUGAG
RNAcentral lists this ribosomal RNA (534 nucleotides) under Melursus ursinus (sloth bear). RNAcentral's name for it is "partial large subunit ribosomal RNA". It matches the Rfam family "Bacterial large subunit ribosomal RNA", at positions 1854 to 2609 of the family's 2925-position model. Lineage: Eukaryota; Metazoa; Chordata; Mammalia; Carnivora; Ursidae. The record is from RNAcentral.